This 1700-nucleotide unclassified non-coding RNA is filed under the name uncultured fungus. RNAcentral's name for it is "sequence contains 18S rRNA gene, ITS1, 5.8S rRNA gene, ITS2, 28S rRNA gene". The stretch from base 717 to 1700 matches the Rfam family "Eukaryotic large subunit ribosomal RNA", at positions 1 to 961 of the family's 3401-position model. The record is from RNAcentral. Lineage: Eukaryota; Fungi.
AGCUGGAUCAUUUUUCCGAAUGUGACAAAAACAAAAACAAAACCCUUUAAGGGAGGAGUGAAAACGCUCUGCGGCUCACUCGCUCUCACAACAAAACAAAACAAAAAGCAGCGAGAAGCUUUUUUCCCCUUUCGUCAAAAAAAGGGGGGGAAAACCUUUACCUGCCCCACCACUUUCAAAGGAAGGAGAGAGCAUUUAGCGCUCUUCUUGGGUGGCAUCCAAAACGUGUCGCGAUGGAUGACUUGGCUUCCCAUAUCUGUGAAGAACGCAGCAAAGUGCGAUAAGUGGUAUGUAUUGCAGAAUCAUUCCAUUACUGAAUCUUUGAACGCAAAUGGCGCUCGGGAGCAACCCUUCUAGGGUCAUCCCCGUGCAUGCCGUAUUCUCAGUGUCGAAAAAACAAAACUCAAAAAAUCUGGAGAAAAAAAUUGGUAGGAGAAGGAGGCUUCACCGUUUUCCCUUCUAUCCUUUUUUCUUUCUGGACUUGAGGUUUCUCGAAGUUGUGUCCCUUUAAACUUCUUAAAACAAAGGUUACGGCGGGCACAAUUCGGGGCUCUUUGGCGUUUUCCCUGUAAAACGGGAAAUUCAAGAAAGCGCUCAAAGACAAAAACAACACAAAAACAAUUGCGUGUUCGUUUUUACUCAAAAAACAACCUUUGAAAACAAUGAACUUUGUUUUUCCUAUUCACUUAGGGAAAAUAUAUGUUUACGUUUAUCACUGACCUGAGUACGGUAGGACCACCCGCCGAACUUAAGCAUAUUACUCAGCGGAGGAAAAGAAAACAACCGUGAUUCCCUUAGUGAGCGGCGAGCGAACAGGGAACAAACUCGAUGCCGAAUCGGGCUUUACAAAGCCUUGAGCUGUGGCACAACCGUCCCGUGACUGGUUAGGGGGGUGGCAAAAUUCAACGUGCAAAGCAAACCCAUUGUUGAAUACAACCCUUCAUGUGAGUAUUGAGCCAUAGUAGGUGAAAGCCCACUCUAGCCACCUGAACAACCCCAAGCCUCAUUGGAUGGUUACAAGAGAGUAGCACUGUUUGGGAAUGCAGUGUCAAUAGGCAGGUAUGUGUCUGCCAAGGUUAAAUAUAAAAUGGGAAGACCGAUAGCAAACAAGUAGUGUGAACGAAAGUUUGAAAAGCACUUUGGAAAGAGAGUGACAUAGAACCUGAAGUCGUGACAAUGACAAUGAACGUACCUCCAUUUUUGUCAAGCUCAGCCCUGCAGCAUUAUCCGGCGGUCCGCUCCAAUUGCGGAGUGACGCUGUCGGUAACAAGUGUUGGAAUGGGGUCUGGGGGUAGGAGCCGGGGUAAAGGUGCGAGUUCUGCUUUGCAGUGAACCGCUCCCUUCCCGGUAGACUCAACAAAUUGACGCUCUGAAAAUGGGGUACCUUCACCCGUCUUGAAACACGGACCAAGGAGUCAAACAGACACGCAAGAGGGAAGAUAUUGUUGCCAGUACUUCUCUCGUACUUAAAGGGAUGCGUUUCGCAUUGGUGUGCACACUGCCCAACACCGACCGCCUUCUUCGGAGGGUGAGUCUGAGUGUGCCUGUUUGGACCCGAAAGGUGGUGAACUAUGCCUGAACAAGGUGAAGUCCGGGGAAACUCGGAUGGAGGCCUGUAGCGGUGCUGACGUGCAAAUCGCUCGCAUGAUUUGGGUAUCGGAGCGAAAGACUCAUCGAACCACCUAGUAGCUGGUUCACAU